AUGGGUGUGCACAGGUGUGCAAGGCACACGCCUAUGCGCAGUCCCAUGCUCACAUACACACAGCACAGGCCGGCCAUGCACACACACACAUUGCACACGUGUACACCUGCUCACACACAGCCCCUUGCACACCCUCCAGGCCCCGCUGCCCUCCUGGCCCCGUGCACGUGCAGCUCUGGCGUGCCCGUGGUGCUGGGUGCCAGGGGCUGGGUCCCAGCGGGUGCUGGGUGGGCUGGCAGGGGACACGCAGCGGGGGGGCAGUGGGAGACACUGCGGGGACACCAUGGGGACACUACAGGGACACGAUGGGGACACCAUGGGGACACCACACACCCUGGCCAUGCCCUGGGCCACGUGUGCAGCUCCCAGCCCCAGUCCCUGGGGCUCUCGCUGUACAACACAGCCACGACCCCAUGGCCCCACCACCCUCUGCAGGUCCCCGGGGGUCCUGUGGGGUCCUGCCUGCAGCCAGCGCCUGCCCCAGGCUCCAGCCCCCGUGAAAGCCCCCGACACCCAUGCCCAGUUCAAUUUUGGGCCCCUCACUACAAGGACAUCGAGGCCCUGGAGCGCAUCCAGAGCCGGGCUGAGGCUGGGGAAGGGGCUGGGACACGAGUCCUGCGAGGGGCGGCUGAGGGAGCUGGGGGGGCCGGGGCUGUAGCAGGGUGUGGGGACCCCCCCCCGCUCCCUGGGGGCUGUGGGGAGCUGGGGCCGGGCUCUGCCCGCAGCAGAGGGAACGGCCUCGAGGGGGGCCCGGCUGGGAGCGGGGAGACAUCGCUGGCACUGCUGGGACACAGCCCGGGGAGCUGCUGGGGUCACCGGCACUGGGGGUGCUCGAGGAGGGGCUGGGCCUGGUGCUUGGGGACACUGCUGGGGGGGGGGACACUGCUGGGGGCCGCUGGGGACAGGCGGCCCCGCGCCCCGUCGAGGCCUGGCAGCCCCGCGGGCCGCUCCCCGCCGCGCUGGCACCAGCGGCCGCCGGCCCCCAUUGGCUGCCCUGCCUUGGGGGGUGGGCCCCCCGCCGCCGAUAACCAAUCAGCGCGCUCCAGCGCCGCUGCGCCGCCACCAUUUUGUUCGCGGGCGCGGGACGUGGCCGCCAUCGUUGUUGAGGGCGGCCAUCUUGCGGGCGGCCCCGGGGCACUGGGGGGGGGGGGGGCGGCCCGAGCCCCCCGCCCCCCCCCGCCCCCCGGGGCCCCAGGGGGGGGGGUCCCCCCUCCCGGAUGUUUUUUAAGCUCCCGGUUUUUUUUUUUUUUUUUUUUUUUCGUUUUUUUUUGGUGUGGGUUUUUUUUGUGUGUGUUUUUUUUUCAAGUUUAA
This 1311-nucleotide long non-coding RNA is filed under the name Anas platyrhynchos platyrhynchos (common mallard). Its description in RNAcentral is "lncRNA (ENSAPLG00000030362.1)". The record is from RNAcentral. Lineage: Eukaryota; Metazoa; Chordata; Aves; Anseriformes; Anatidae.